AGUCGAAAGGGAAACAGCCCAGACCACCAGCUAAGGUCCCAAAAUAUAUGUUAAGUGGAAAAGGAUGUGGGGUUGCACAGACAACUAGGAUGUUGGCUUAGAAGCAGCCAUCAUUUAAAGAGUGCGUAAUAGCUCACUAGUCGAGUGACCCUGCGCCGAAAAUGUACCGGGGCUAAACAUAUUACCGAAGCUGUGGAGUACACCUUUAGGUGUAUUGGUAG
Molecule: ribosomal RNA, 221 nt
Filed under: Enterococcus faecium
Lineage: Bacteria; Bacillati; Bacillota; Bacilli; Lactobacillales; Enterococcaceae
Description: partial 23S ribosomal RNA
Rfam family: Bacterial large subunit ribosomal RNA
Source: RNAcentral